This 211-nucleotide long non-coding RNA is filed under the name Nicotiana benthamiana. RNAcentral's name for it is "long non-coding RNA (NBEN_LNC025438)". Lineage: Eukaryota; Viridiplantae; Streptophyta; Magnoliopsida; Solanales; Solanaceae. The record is from RNAcentral.
CAAGAACCCCAAAACCCUAGCCGCCUCUAGGCAAUUUGCACCAGAAACCCGGCGGCAACGACGCUUCCGGUCACCCCGUUAACACCGCAGAACUCCCAUCACACCCUAAAGCCAAAUCCACUAACCCAUAACCUCGAAUCAAACAGAACCUUCUUGAAUCUUCGUUUGAAGAUUCGAGCCCAGAUUCAACUCACACCAAAUCACCCCAAAU